AGAUCAAAACUGUUCUGAAGUAGCAUUUACAUAUUUUUUGAGUUUUUUCUUUAUUAAGAGAAAGUAUCAGUAAUUCUCAUGCAGAGCAUUUACUCAAGUUAAACUUUUUUUUUAAUAGAAUUUGUAAGUUCUCUUGUGCCUCUGCAACCUCCACCUCCUGGGUUCAAGUGAUUCUCCUGCCUCAGCCUCCCGAGUAGCUGGGACUACAGGUGCCUGCCACCACUCCUGGCUAAUUUUUGUAUUUUUAAUGGAGACGGGAUUUUACCAUGUUGGCUAGGCUGGCCUUGAACUCCUGACCUCAAGCAAUUGCCCGCCUUGGUCUCUCAAAGUGCUGGGAUUAUAGGCGUGAACCACCAUGCCUGGCCUCUUAUGCCAAAUUUUUAUGGAAUAUGUUAAAGGGCAGUAAACAUCUGUGAAGGAAUACAGAGAAUGGAUAGAUGUAUAUCUUGAAAAUACAAUCCCCGUCCCCAUGGUUAUAAAGAAAAUGCAUGUCCAAUAUAGAAAAUUGGGAACAAUGUAGAAAACAAGAAGAAAAAGAAGUCCCUUGCAGUCUCCUAUUCUGAGCCACUGUUAACGUGCCAAGUGUGUUCUCUCAGUCUUUUUCUGGGUAAGAUAGGGGUAUUUUAUCUGGUAACUUUCACUCAGGUUCUAGGAUUUGUUUACAGUGUCGGGUUUACUGUCUUUUGGGUUCAAUGUCUGACCCUCUUGAAGUCAUUACAGACCUUGGAGACUAUUUUUAGCCAUUUUCCCCCAUUGGUGUUUCUAAGUACUGACCAUUCUUUCUGCAUCAAAGCUAGAUGUGGGCGCUUUCUUUGGUUGUAUAGAUUGUGUUUUUCUGUUGUGUGUGGCAUUUCUUCUGCCUUGUGCCUUAAGUGGUUGUGUUCCUUGACAUACUACUAUGUUGCCCAGGCUGGUCUUGAACUCCUGGGCUCAAACGAUCCUCCUGCCUUGGCCCCCUGAAGUGUUGGGAUUACCAUUCCCAGCCUCUUUUUCCUGGUUCUAACUCUUUUCUGACAGUGUGACGUCAGCUUCCAUUAUCUUCAGUGUGUCUAGUGGGUUGCUCAGUUAACUGACUUAUUUAUUUAUUGUAUUCAUUCUCCCAGCCACAUCCUCCAUCUCCUCCUCCUGCCAUCCCCUCCCUCCCACCACCGCCUGCCUAUGCUAUGCUGUAGCUCCCCAGUCUGUGCUCCUGUUCCCUGGGCCCAGGGCUCAAUUUUUGGACAGCUUCUCUCUUCUUUCUGCCUUUAGAGAUCUCACAUAAUUUUAUGAUUUUAAAUACCAUGCCCCAAAUGUAUAUAUCCCUAGCUUGGAUCUGUCCCCAGAAUACUAGACUUUUAUGUCUGUCUACUCCGUAUCUCCUUUUAAGUAUCUGGAAGACCGUUUCUGCUUUUGCCUAAAACUGAACAUCUGAUCUUCCCAGACCUGCCCUUCCAGACCCAUUGAUCUCACUGCGCAGGCUGAAAGCCCUGGGCUUCUCCCCACUCUUCUGUUUCUUGCGUCUCUCUUGAAUCCCUCAGCAGAUCUGGUGGCCAUGUCUUCUAAAUAGAGAGUCCGGCCGCCUCUCCUUGCUCUGCCUCCGUCCUGGUCCAGGUCUCGUCCCACACCUGCCUCGCCUGGCUGGGCCCCUGCUCCUGCCUCUGUCUUAGCCUGGUCUCUUCUCCUGGCAUCCAGAAUGAUCUGCAGGAAGCCACAGUCAGAUCAUUUCAUUCCUGUACUCAAGACCCUCCAGGGGCUUCCUGUUUUCCUCAGCAAAAGCCCUGUGGAGCCGCACAAUGGGCCUGUGGCCCUCGUCAUUUCUCUGAGCUGUGUUACUACGUCCCUGCCCGGUGGUGCUGGCCUCCUCGAGUCUCCUGACUGUGCUUCUGUGUGUACUCCUCUGCUUGGAAGUCUCUUCUCCCAGUGGCCAUGGGGCUCGCGUCCUCACCUCCUGCAUUUUUUUUUCCAUUUACCCUAACUUGAAGCUCACCUGCACAUCUUUAUGCUCAGAUGUCACCUUCUCGGGGAGGUCUUCCUUACCCAUCCUAUGUGAGAUCACAGUGCCCAAGCCCACCCUCCCUCCCUACCGCCUCCUCAUCCUGCGUCUGUUAUUUAUAGCACUUACCUCUACCUGGCGUACUUUCUUUGUUUCUUUCGCUGUCAAGUUGAAUAUAAGUUUAAGUUCCCUUCCCCUCCCAGGUCAGGGAUUUUUGUCAGUUUUCUUCACUGCUGUAUCCCUAGCACCUAUAAUAGUGCCUAUUCAGUUUUUAUAGAAUUCUGUUUUGUUGGAUACUUGUAAAUACAGGGUGAUUCUUAUUAUUUACAGUAGUUAUGCUUCAUAAAGUCACUGAGGGCUGAGCACAGUGGCUCAUGCCUGUAAUCUCAGCAGUUUCGGAGGCCAAGGCAGGUGGAUCACCUGAGGUCAGGAGUUUGAGACCAGCCUGACCAACAAGGAGAAACCCCCCGUCUCUACUAAAAAUACAAAAAUUAGCCGAGUGUGGUGGCGCAUGCCUGUAAUCCCAACUACUCGGGAGGCGGAGGCACGAGAAUUGCUUGAACCCAGGAAGUGGAGGUUGCAGUGGGCUGAGAUUGUGCCAUUGCAUUCUAGCCUGGGCAAAAAGAGAGAGUCUCUGUUUCAAAAAAAAAAAAAAAAGUUACUGAAAUCUCUGAAUUAUCAACUAUGGAAAAACUCACUGCUCCUAGGGGAAGUACAGGAGUUGAGUCGUUUACAUUGAGCUCCCAGCCAGCAGCUCUGUGACUCGAGCCUGAACAAAGUGUCCCUAACACACGCCACAUCUCCGUCAGGCACAUCACAGCCGUCUUGUGCUCAGGACACCAGACUGUACCUCAGCCCUACACUUGGGGCCGUUUAUACCGUGAAAUCACCAAAAAAAGCACAGAAGUGUGAAAAACAUGAUACCAAACAGACUCUGAAAAGGACACUUGGUGAUAGUCUGAGAGCAGAGAUGGGAAGGGAGGGCCUCACCUUGUUGGACUUUGCCUGGGAACGUGGGUGUCGGGUGCCUAAAAUUUUUGGCUGCUCUGCCCAUGACUGGAAGCGCUCCGUGGAUUGGUUUGGGGCUGUUAUUACAAGUAGGUGAAUUUGUGAUUACAGAAUCCUCAAAUAAGGAGGAUUGACUGUAUUGAAUGAGUGAAUGAAUGAACACUUUGACAGUGUUUGAGCUGCCGAAGUUGUAGAAGUUUAUACACACAGAAGUAACACUUAUCCUUAUUCAUUCUUUGUAGGGGGAAGUCAUAAAAUGGUAUGUCUUUUUAAUAUCCUUUUGGGGAGAGCAGAUUGGCCACAAGGUUAAGAAGAUAUGUGAUUGCUACCACUGCCACGUGUACCCCUAUCCAAACACAGCCGAGGAGCGGAGGGAGAUCCAGGAGGGGCUGAACACCCGCAUCCAAGAUCUCUACACUGUACUGCACAAAACCGAGGACUAUUUGAGGCAAGUGCUAUGUAAAGCCGCCGAGUCUGUCUACAGCCGUGUGAUCCAGGUGAAGAAAAUGAAGGCCAUCUAUCACAUGCUGAACAUGUGCAGCUUUGACGUGACCAACAAGUGCCUCAUUGCUGAGGUCUGGUGUCCUGAGGCGGAUCUGCAGGACCUGCGCUGGGCGCUGGAGGAGGGCUCGAGAGAGAGUGGUGCUACAAUCCCCUCAUUCAUGAAUAUAAUCCCCACAAAAGAAACACCCCCCACUCGGAUCCGCACCAACAAAUUCACCGAGGGAUUUCAGAACAUCGUGGAUGCUUAUGGAGUCGGAAGCUACAGAGAAGUCAAUCCAGCUCUCUUUACCAUCAUCACCUUCCCGUUUUUAUUUGCUGUGAUGUUUGGAGACUUCGGACAUGGCUUUGUGAUGUUUUUAUUUGCCCUCUUGUUGGUGUUAAAUGAAAAUCAUCCCAGACUAAAUCAGUCACAAGAGAUCAUGAGGAUGUUUUUUAAUGGCCGGUACAUCCUCCUGCUGAUGGGGCUGUUCUCAGUGUACACUGGCCUCAUCUACAACGACUGCUUUUCAAAGUCAGUCAACCUGUUCGGCUCCGGGUGGAACGUGUCGGCCAUGUACAGCUCCAGCCACCCGCCCGCAGAGCAUAAGAAGAUGGUGCUUUGGAACGACAGCGUUGUCAGGCACAACAGCAUUUUGCAGCUGGAUCCAAGCGUUCCUGGAGUGUUCCGAGGCCCUUAUCCCCUUGGC
Molecule: small RNA, 4170 nt
Filed under: Pongo abelii (Sumatran orangutan)
Lineage: Eukaryota; Metazoa; Chordata; Mammalia; Primates; Hominidae
Description: retained intron
Source: RNAcentral